UACGAAGGGGGCUAGCGUUGUUCGGAUUUACUGGGCGUAGAGCGCACGUAGGCGGAUCGUCUAGUUAGGGGUGAAAUCCUGGAGCUAAACUCCAGAACUGCCUCUAAUACUGGCGAUCUCGAGUCCGGAAGAGGUGAGUGGAACUCCUAGUGUAGAGGUGGAAUUCGUAGAUAUUAGGAAGAACACCAGUGGCGAAGGCGGCUCACUGGUCCGGUACUGACGCUGAGGUGCGAAAGCGUGGGGAGCAAACAGG
RNAcentral lists this unclassified non-coding RNA (253 nucleotides) under uncultured Alphaproteobacteria bacterium. Its description in RNAcentral is "contains 16S-23S intergenic spacer region". It matches the Rfam family "Bacterial small subunit ribosomal RNA", at positions 524 to 776 of the family's 1533-position model. The record is from RNAcentral. Lineage: Bacteria; Pseudomonadati; Pseudomonadota; Alphaproteobacteria.